This 282-nucleotide ribosomal RNA is filed under the name uncultured Rhizobium sp. RNAcentral describes it as "partial 16S ribosomal RNA". It matches the Rfam family "Bacterial small subunit ribosomal RNA", at positions 26 to 339 of the family's 1533-position model. Lineage: Bacteria; Pseudomonadati; Pseudomonadota; Alphaproteobacteria; Hyphomicrobiales; Rhizobiaceae. The record is from RNAcentral.
AGAACGAACGCUGGCGGCAGGCUUAACACAUGCAAGUCGAGCGCCCCUCACGGGGAGCGGCAGACGGGUGAGUAACGCGUGGGAAUCUACCCAACCCUGCGGAAUAGCUCCGGGAAACUGGAAUUAAUACCGCAUACGCCCUACGGGGAAAGAUUUAUCGGGGAUGGAUGAGCCCGCGUUGGAUUAGCUAGUUGGUGGGGUAAAGGCCUACCAAGGCGACGAUCCAUAGCUGGUCUGAGAGGAUGAUCAGCCACAUUGGGACUGAGACACGGCCCAAACUCC